UUGCCUACGGGGCGCAGCAGUAGGGAAUCUUUCACAAUGGGCGAAAGCCUGAUGGAGCAACGCCGCGUGCAGGAUGAAGGCCUUCGGGUUGUAAACUGCUUUUAUAAGCGAGAAAUAUGAUGGUAACUUAUGAAUAAGGAUCGGCUAACUACGUGCCAGCAGCCGCGGUAAUACGUAGGUGGCAAGCGUUGUCCGGAAUUACUGGGUGUAAAGGGAGCGCAGGCGGGAAGCCAAGUCAGCUGUGAAAACUACGGGCUUAACUUGUAGACUGCAGUUGAAACUGGUUUUCUUGAGUGAAGUAGAGG
This 305-nucleotide ribosomal RNA is filed under the name uncultured bacterium. RNAcentral's name for it is "bacterial SSU rRNA". It matches the Rfam family "Bacterial small subunit ribosomal RNA", at positions 335 to 657 of the family's 1533-position model. The record is from RNAcentral.